Molecule: ribosomal RNA, 506 nt
Filed under: Sus scrofa (pig)
Lineage: Eukaryota; Metazoa; Chordata; Mammalia; Artiodactyla; Suidae
Description: partial 16S ribosomal RNA
Rfam family: Bacterial large subunit ribosomal RNA
Source: RNAcentral
CGGUAUUCUGACCGUGCAAAGGUAGCAUAUUCACUUGUUCUCCAAAUAAGGACUUGUAUGAAUGGCCACACGAGGGUUUUACUGUCUCUUACUUCCAAUCAGUGAAAUUGACCUUCCCGUGAAGAGGCGGGAAUAAAAAAAUAAGACGAGAAGACCCUAUGGAGCUUUAAUUAACUAUUCCAAAAGUUAAACAAUUCAACCACAAAGGGAUAAAACAUAACUUAACAUGGACUAGCAAUUUCGGUUGGGGUGACCUCGGAGUACAAAAAACCCUCCGAGUGAUUUUAAUCUAGACAAACCAGUCAAAAUAACCAUAACAUCACUUAUUGAUCCAAAACUUUGAUCAACGGAACAAGUUACCCUAGGGAUAACAGCGCAAUCCUAUUCUAGAGUUCCUAUCGACAAUAGGGUUUACGACCUCGAUGUUGGAUCAGGACACCCAAAUGGUGCAACCGCUAUUAAAGGUUCGUUUGUUCAACGAUUAAAGUCCUACGUGAUCUGAGUUC